Molecule: long non-coding RNA, 6285 nt
Filed under: Pelobates cultripes (western spadefoot toad)
Lineage: Eukaryota; Metazoa; Chordata; Amphibia; Anura; Pelobatidae
Source: RNAcentral
CUCCAUUAACAGUGUCCAUUCUUCCUGUAGACGGCCCUCAUUGCAGGAUGAGUUGGUUAGUCGCUGGUGGACUCAUGGGAUGGGCCUUCUGUGUCCCUGGCUGUGCCAAAAUCCUGGUGUCACGUGGCAGGAUCACUGUUUUACCACCACUGCCACAUGCAGACACUCAUUAUAUCAUAACGACACUUUAUGCAUCUCCUGUCAUUUCCAGUGGUUCAUUAGAGCUCCUACCUGAUUUAAGCAAAUCACAGACAUUGGCGUGACCCUAACACUUUGUAAUAGAGCAUACACAGAUCAAUGCAGCCAUGAUACACGUUAUCACAUGGGAAAUACUUUAGGUAUAUGGUUUAUGUAUAAAUAUGCUGUGUUGCGGUGACCCUAGUUUCCUUUCCGGACCUUGCCCAAGUCCACGGCAAAGUAGGCAAAACGUGGGAAUGUGCGGCUGUUCUCCCUGUACCCACUUUAAUAUGUGGUCAUUUUACAUUGUUAAAUUGUGAUCUAGAAGAACAUUUACAUACAGAAAAGUGGAACGAUCACCAAGGUAUCUGAUGACAUCUGCAGCGCCAUUCUACUGGAUUCCAUGGCAACUGCUCCACUCUUCAAUUAGCAGGCCAUUUAUGUUAUAAGAAAACAGAACAUUUGCAAGUGUUGGUGCUGAUCAGCAAAGUGCCCUUUCUUGUGAAGUCAGUGAGACAGAGGAUUAGACAGAGACAGAGGAUUAGCAGCACGGAUUUCUCAUUGCCUUGGCCUUGGUAACAAUAGUUAAUGGACCACCAUGUCCAGGGACAGGAUCUUUUUUAGUACUUCAAUAAUCUGUGAGCGUCUAUAGAUACAUCCCAAUGUUUGCAGGUGUCACAACAUUUAAUGAUAGUAAGAACUCUCAAAGUCUAAUCAGACUGAUAUUGUCCCACUAACUGUCUCAUCUCAAUAAAUGAAUAAACAGAUCCUUAACUAGACUCCAUCAUGUAAAGGCUAAUUAAACAGCCUAAUGUACAGAUAUGUGAGUAAGCAUGAACAUAUAAAAAUCUCACAAUGAAUCAUAACCUUAGAGUUCUGCACAAUACAGAAGAGGUUUCACAAUAUAUAUUAAUGCCAUUUACAUACAUUGGGUUUUUUAAUAGUUUUUUUUUGUUUUUUUCCUUAAAGGAGAUCAGGAAGCAGUGGCCUGUAUGAGAUUGGCUUCAUCCAUUCAACACGCAAAAUUCCUUGAACUAAGAGAUUAAAAUACGGAAUCCAAGGAGAAGUGGAGAGGAUCUAAGAGGCUCUUAGUUCCUACCAUGGACAGCUCCGGGAUUCCAUAGAAAUGCUGGAACACAUCCCAUGGUUCUGAUGUCAUAAUGGCAGCCAAACAGAUUGACAUCCAACUGGCAAAAUGACAUACCAAAUGGCUGGGCACAUCAGUAUUUGGAUGAAGAUAUGACACCUUCAGAGAGUCGACCUUGAGCUGCAGAUAUUCAUUGGAGAGUGGAAUUCAGCUGCCAUCUAAGACUGGGCACCAAAUCCCACAUAUGGCAAGUGUUGGCACUGGGUUGAACAUUGUAUUUGCUGAAGCAAACUGUGGAGCAUUACAUAAGGCAAUAUGGAAAACAUUGGAUAAAUUGCAUGGCGAAGCCACUAUCUCAUUGAAAAUGUGGACUUAUUUCUGCCACUUCCAUGGACACUGAACUUUUCAAUUUUUUAGGUACAUGUGCAAAUCAAGAGAUUUUCUCAAGUCUUUCAGCCAGCAGUAUGUAUCUAGUCCAAUCUAAGUUGUUAGCUCAUCUGCACAUGUCCUUAUGUCCACCAGACCAAAGUAAUGGCCCAACUGUUGAGACGUACAUGCAGAACAGAACCAAUGACUGUUCCUCAGGCUAAUCGACAGUUACAAUGUUCUAUACAGAUACUGGAAACCAGGCAAGGACAGUGUGUGAGCUCUGUGCAGCUCAGGUGACAGGAUCUAAAUGUGGAUCCCUAGCAAAAGCACCAUGUCUGCCAAUGUAGGAAUACCCAGGCACAUUGCUUCCCUUGUAUGAAGCGAUCCGGCGCUGUCUCUCUCUCCCUCCUCGUUCUCUUGCAUGGACUUGCAGUUCUUCCUCUUGCUCUGAGUCUGCCUUGCUGGAGUUACCUUCUUAGAGCACUAUAUACACAUUGAUCGAUGUCUCAAGCUCCCCGGUCUCCUGCGCUUUUCCGACAAAUCCUUUCCUCAUCGUAAGUGGUUUCGCUCGGCGAGCACGACACACACACUUUGCUCAUUUUCUCCCUUUGGAGUUGUGCUGAUGAGGCGUUAGGAGUAAAUAAGCAUAUGCAUUUAUGCAAAUUGCAGACUAGCGUGAGAUAAUGAAAACAAAGCAGCGCUGGCUCUCUGCCAAGCUGUGGCACUGAACAAGCCUCAGGCUGCUCCGUGCCUCCUGAUUCCUCCGUAGAAGCAGCUGAGGAGAGAGCGAAGAUGGGCACCCCAGACGUUCCGGUGCCCACCACUUGCCUGAUGCAGAGAGGUACAAUUUGCACGUCGCCUCCUUGGGAAGAUUGGCAUUCCCAGGAGCUUAUGGUCAUUACAAAUACACCUCCCCUUUGCAUCCACAGUUCCUUCAUGAUUCCCUCCAUGGAAUUUACAAACAUUUCCCUCAGAUCAAUAGCUGUAUUGAUUAUUCAUUGUGAGAGAGUUCUAUGUCUCUGGCCACACGGCUUUGGCACAGUGUGAGCUGCUGCAGAGCAGGAAGUGUGGGGGGGUGGGGGGGGGGUGGAAUCGAGCUGCUGUUCAGGGUGAAGCCAAGACAGCAAAAAGGAGAGAGCGAAAGCAGGAAUCAGAAAGAAAAACAGAAAUAGGAGUAAAGACACAGAUGCUACACGCAGCAAACUUGUUCCAGAAGAGAUACAGCGUGUUUGGGCAACGUUACACCGGCCACUGCCACCUUUUUGGAGUCUGGCAGGAUGCUAAAGAGGAGUACCGGAGAUUGGGCUCCAACAUGACAGCAUGAGGGGAUUACUUAUCUUUUAUUGGAAAGAAAAUGCAGGGAAGAAAAGGGGAUUUGAUGACAGAAAUAACUGGUGCAAACCAGCAACAUUGGCAGGUGAGCCACCAAGGUAACACUGGCACCAAUCAGGCCAGGAAACAAUGGAGUUUGGGAGGAGACCCUGCCAGCUUUCAGUGGAUUCCUGAGAUUGGAGUCAGAUGGAAUUUAAUAAUGACGGAUAAUGCAGAUCAUCUCUUUAUCCAGGCGGAAUGAACUAAUUGUGCCAUUUAUAAAUGGCAUCGCACUAACACACUGCAUCACAAAUAGCUAUCUUUAGAACAGGCAAUGCAAUAAAUAUGAAGUAAAGAAGAUCUGUUAUAACCAGAGCUGUGGAAUAAUGGUGUGCGGAAAGGAAUGUUUCAGAGCAAAGGAUAAAACAAAUAAAAAUAAUACAUGAAAAAUAACCUGGAGAAAUGACAGAGAUCGUUGCCACAUCCAGAGGGCCGUAUCUCCAGUGGCUAAAGAUUUGAAAUGAUACAUUGGUGAUUGGUGUGAAUAUUGUGUAACCGAGAACACUCUCUGUAAGACAGGGCAGUGCCCUCUGUGUGAAGCCAAUCAGGGGGCUGAGAAGGAGACAUUCAGAGGAAUGUGAUACUCUGCCGUUCAUAUCCCACAGCUGAUGCACUGGCUGCAGUGCUGCAGGGACAGCCAUGUGUGUGAAUACAGACCUGCAUGUGUAAUCAGAUGCAUUGUUUAAAUGUCUCCAGCAGAAUUUGCAGGUUUCUCAGUGAUAGAAUGCAUCUAGGAAUCUGUGUAUCUGGUGAAAGGUUUUAUCGGUUUAGUUCACACCCAUCAUUCAGGUGGUUCAGAGCCUGCAUCCCCACUGUUCAAGUCUCUGCCUGUUAUGCGUUGUGUGCAACAUACAGAAUGAUUGAUAGCAUGCAUGGGAAUGUCUCACUGUCUACACCUCUCUCUCAGAUCAUGCAUGUCUCUCUAGCUGCAUACAUGCCUGUUCCUGGCAGUGAACAUGUCUCUCUGGCUGCAUACAUGCCUGUUCCUGGCAGUGAACAUAUCUCUCUGGCUGCAUACAAGUCUGUCUAGAUUUAUGUCUAUCUCAUACAACAUACUUGUGUCCGUAAACAUGAACUGAAUGUUUCUUUGGUGAUUCAGUUGUCUCUACGUGUCUCUCUGGCACUGUACAUGUCUCUGAACAAGUGUACAUGUCUCUCUCUUAGUAUGUAUGUCUGGUGCUAUACACAUCUCCAUACAGCACAGAUGUAUCUACAUCAUUAUAUAUGUGUCUCUGUAAGUUUGCAUGUCUCUCUGCCAGUAUACACGUCUCUCUGGCAGCAUAAGUCUCUCUGUCAGUAUAUGUGUCUCUGUCAGUAUAUCCGUCUCUGUCAGUAUAUCUGUCUCUGUCAGUAUGCAUGUCUCUGUCAGUAUAUGUGUCUCUGUCAGAGUAUGUGUCUCUGUCAGUAUGUAUGUCUCUCUGGCAGUAUAUGAGUCUCUGUCAGUAUGUAUGUCUCUCUGUCAAUAUAUGUUUCUCUGUCAGUAUGCAUGUCUCUGUCAGUAUAUGUCAGAGUAUGUGUCUCUGUCAGUAUGUAUGUCUCUCUGUCAGUAUGUAUGUCUCUCUGUCAGUAUGUAUGUCUCUCUGGCAGUAUAUGUGUCUCUGUCAGUAUGUAUGUCUCUCUGUCAGUAUGUAUGUCUCUCUGGCAGUAUAUGUGUCUCUGUCAGUAUGCAUUUCUCUGUCAGUAUGUAUGUCUCUCUGGCAGUAUAUGUGUCUCUGUCAGUAUGCAUGUCUCUGUCAGUAUAUGUCAGAGUAUGUGUCUCUGUCAGUAUGUAUGUCUCUCUGUCAGUAUGUAUGUCUCUCUUGUGGUAUAUGUGUCUCUGUCAGUAUGUAUGUCUCUCUUGUGGUAUAUGUGUCUCUGUCAGUAUGUAUGUCUCUCUGUCAGUAUAUGUGUCUCUGUCAGUAUAUCUGUCUCUGUCAGUAUGCAUGUCUCUCUGGCAGCAUAAGUCUCUCUGUCAGUAUAUGUGUCUCUGUCAGUAUGUAUGACUCUUAAGUGCUAUGCGUGUCUCUGUCAGUAUACAUAUGUCUCUGUCAGUAUGCAUGUCUCUCUGGCAGUGUACAUAUUACUACAGCAAAAUAUAUCUUUGUGUAUUAAUCUACAUGUUUGUCUGACAUUCAAAUCCCACCUGCCCUACUGGUGAACACAACCCUCUAUCACGUCUGUAUCCCGGCAGGUGUACACAUUAGAAGAAUUCAGAAUGUGGUAAAACAGUCAAACCAAGGGCCACAGACACACAUUGCAGAGAGAAAAUGGACAAAGUCCACAUGUACAAGACAAGGAUGAACUACAAUAAAUAGAUUUAUCGUUAUUGAGGGUUUGAAUUCUAAAAUAAAAUCUCACUUUGUAUUACAAAUAUUGCAUUGAAAUAUAUACAUUAUUGAUAAAUGUCUACUGUGCGCUUGAAACAUAGCGUUUGUUUCAUAUGUAAAUAAAUAUAAUCGUUACUUGGACUAAGAAGACACAGGAGUGCACUAACACACACACACAAUGACUUAUAUUAUAAACUAAGAGCAAAGUUAUAUUUCCCAUUUAUAAAUACUCGGUAAAAGUUUCACCCUAAAAUAAAAAUAUGUUUAUCAUUUGAAAUAAUAAUAUUACUAAGUGUACACACAGAUAAUCAGACAGACAGAUAACUGGAUAGCUAAAUAAUUAGACUGAAAGGCAGUCAUUAAGACAGAGAUAAACAGAUAGACAUAGACAGACAGAUAGAUAGGCAGAUACAAGGACAGCAGCAAAAACAGCUCCAUCUAGCGCCCUUUGCCCCCCAUAAAUCAUACAGUUUGUAAUUUUGUCAUAUCACUACAAAUCACUGUUUAGUGAAUAUGCUGUAUAGUUGUGCACUGCCUGUACAUGUGGCUGUUACAGGAUUCCUCUGUGCUCUGUAAUUCUCAUUUCUCACGUUUUUAAUAUAAUGAAUCACUGGAAGCACAGAGGAAUUAAUUAUACUUUAUUAAGAGAAGGUAAAUACAAAACAAAAAUAGUGUUCGUGCAACCAAAAUGUGAUCAUAAAAUGACCAAAACUGUGUAUAAAAUGAUAGAAGACUGCUAGAACGGUACCAUAGAUAUACACUAUACAACUGUAAACGCUACGAGCUACAAAUGUAGCAAUUCAAUGUAAAGAGUUAAACUAAUUUGAUACAAAAGUGACAGCCUGGUUUCUGUAGUGUCCUGUGUAAGUUAUAUACAGGAUUAUCUGUGUUUUGAGUAAAGGUCACAUAAGAUACUUAAAUAGGGAGUUGGAUAAGAAAUAGUGCUUGGCUAGACCUGAAAUCGCCAUGUAAGAG